Molecule: long non-coding RNA, 561 nt
Organism: Phyllostomus hastatus (greater spear-nosed bat)
Lineage: Eukaryota; Metazoa; Chordata; Mammalia; Chiroptera; Phyllostomidae
Exons: 3
Source: RefSeq, a predicted model, not a curated record
GUGGCAGGCUACCGUCUAGAACAGCUCCCAGCAACGCUGGAGUGUAACCGAUGGCUGAGUAUCAUCAUUAUUUUAUUCUGCACAUGGUUAAACACAUCUAUUUUAUAUUCUCUCAAAAGUAUUUUUCAUUUUCUCAAGAUGGCAUGGACCACCCCUGCAGGGGAUUCAAGGGAAGCAGAAGGAUCAAGAAAAUAAACACAUACUGUUUUCUACUUGUUGAGAUUUGAGAAGGAGAAUAACUCUCCUAGGAAAAAGGAGCCACAGGAAAAGGAAUCUCAUCCCUGAAAGGGAAACAAAGACUUUGCACGUGGGCUACUACUAAUGACCAUCAGUCAGUAAGGGAAGCAUCUUCCAACUUGAACAUCAGAGUUUCAAUAUGGGGACAAAAUGUCUGUGAAGGUUUGUGCCCCCAAUAUUAGAUAUAGAGAAUUGAUUAUGAAGACCUUGAUUAAAACUAACUGAUACUAUAUUUAUAAAAUUAAUGCCUAGUAUUAUCUAGUAAACAAAAAAAAUAUCCGUCUCAAAAUACUUAGGAUAUUAAAAGUGUGCCUAUAUUCUAGA